UGCGCCUGUGACGGAUCAGGCACGAUCCUGUGAUCGGCUUCGCAGGCAGCCGGAUCGUGUACGGUCUUGUACCUCCAAGAAUUUUCUUGGAUUUAACGAUUUCU
Molecule: small RNA, 104 nt
Filed under: Ruminococcus flavefaciens
Lineage: Bacteria; Bacillati; Bacillota; Clostridia; Eubacteriales; Oscillospiraceae
Also listed under: 1 other name
Description: RNA
Rfam family: RT-5 RNA
About the family: Clostridium (Firmicutes).
Source: RNAcentral